Betta splendens (Siamese fighting fish) is the source of this 5291-nucleotide long non-coding RNA. RefSeq lists it as uncharacterized. The transcript has 4 exons. NCBI's taxonomy places the organism in Eukaryota, Metazoa, Chordata, Actinopteri, Anabantiformes, Osphronemidae. The record is from RefSeq and is a predicted model, not a curated record.
AAAGGUGCUCCUUCUACAUUCGACGCCCCAUAUGUGUUUGUACUGUAAAUGUCUCCAUUCAGUGUAUGAAUAAAAUGAGUUCCUUAAAUUAGCAGAACAUCAUUCCUUCGCAGUACUUCUUAGUACUCCAUGGACUACUACCACAGCAAACAUCAACCCAUAUUGUUAGAGUGCGAUGACUGUAUUACUGUAUGACUAUAGACGAUCUCUGUUCUGCAUGUUGAAUAAAGGGACACGCCCACUCCUUGACUUCUCGGCGGUGAGAAGCGAAGCGAUGCAAACAUGAGACAAGAGCACGUGUCCAUGUGUCUUAUUAACUAGAGGCUAAUAUAUGCGUCAGGACUGUCUACUUCGGCUGGAGCGACGGGAGAGAGUUCCCGGGCGGCAAGAGAGACAACACAUAUUACUCCAUUAAAGAGGAGUUUCACAGGAUUGCAGGUAUGUGGUAUUUGUUUCACUGAGGCUAAUCUGAAAAAUGAUGAUCAGGUAAUAAUAUCUUGCUGUGAUCUGAAAUAAACUAAUAAAUGUGCAGGUGCACUGACUACUCUUUCUAAUGGUCACUGUAACUGACAUUACAUUGUUUACAUCAGCAAGAUCAUAUGUGAUGCUGCACGUAUCAUAAAUGUGAACUCAUGAAUAUAUCAUGAUUCAACCCUAAGUAACAGGCUGAACUGUGGUAAGUACAUGUAUGUCCUAUACACUUAUUUCAAAGCAUGCACUGACACUCACGAACACUUCUAUGCAGCACUAAAGUAAUCUAAACUUUCUUCUAGGAGAGAUUGACAGCUUUCUGCUGGAGAUAGUGGUUACCCAUGAAGGCCCACACUACUGACGCCUGACCCAGAACCUGAAGCAGGCCCCCAGCAGCGCUUUAAUGUGGCCCUGCAGAACAAGAGCCCGGGUGGAAAUGACCAUAGGCCUGUUGAAAGCACGUCUUCAGUGCCUACGUCACCUCGGGAAACACCUGAGAGGCCUGUGACAUGUGUUGUUCUCCACAUUAUUGCAAUUAUUAGAGGGGAGCAACACCCUGCCCUACAAAUACAAGACCCUGAGGAGAAUCCUUCCAUCACAGUGAUCUGCAGAGUGGAUGGACAGUCAGCUGUGAUUUGCUUUAAUGUCUUAAUCAACCAUCACCACCAAUAAAAGAAACUGAAUAGAUGUAAAUCAUAAUUUAUUUGUUUUUUUUUUUCAUUUCCUACAAAUAGAAAGGCAAUUGUUAGAUUUUAUAAUUCUUCCAAUAAUUCAUACAAUUCACCUUUAACUAUACACUCACCUCCAGCUUGUGUUUGGGAAUUUCAAUUUCUAGAUCUGUCUUUUCAAUCUUGUGGUACAAGUGUGAUUUUCCUUGAGAUUUAGUUUAUACAACUCAAUCGGUAACUUAAAAUACCGAAGAUUUAGAGUUACAUGACAUCUUGACAUGACAUGUUCCUCAUUACUCUUACAGAAUUGAACUCUGGCAUUUAUUGAACAUCACUGAACUGUGUGCAUCUGUGCAGCAGAAUGUGACUGACCUCCUGCUGUUCCUUCACACUCUGGGGCAGAGGGGAGAUAAUAAAGUCACUAUACUUGGAGAUCAAGUUACAUCCUUUAGGCUACGCAACACAAAUAUCAGAAAUCAUGUGUAUAAACUGUAUUAAUAUUACACUUUAUAAUACUUCUCAUCAUAAUUUAUGCUUUAUUUAAUAGUAUACUUACAACAUCCUGGGCUUCUGUUGUGACAGGAAGAUUCACAUAUUACCAUCAGAAUCUGUUAAGACCAACAAAGAACCCAACCCAGACUCUAAGAAAUUAAUAUAUCAAAAGUAGCCUAUGUAAAAAAUCAAAUGUAUAGGUAGGCCUCUUACAUUUUACACAUGCACUUGUAUCCUGGGGAGUGAGUGGUUCUGAUGAACUCCCUCCAGGAAUUCCUUCAGCCCCUGCUUUCCAGUGUUCAUGCCGAGGGCCUUCUCCUCUGCAUGCGUCAGUGGUGGUGGUGCAGGUCCUCCACCAGUUGUUCUAGCCUCAACUAACUGUGUGAAACAUUACAGCGAUGUUGAAAAUGCUGCUGCACUGCUAUACUCUGCAUGCUAUUUAGUUAUUUAAUAUGUCAAAUGUUGUCAGGAAGUAGUCAGGUAGUCUACACCCAUGACAUGAUGGUGCCUUAUACAUGUUUGAAUUAUGUUUUUAUAUUUAAUUUUUAGCCACGUUCUUUUAUGCCUGCAGGAUUGUGCCUACAUAAAAACUGAAUUAAAUUCUUAUAUUAUUACGUGUUUUGGGUAACUUUUAAAAACCUAAUUAGAUUGAUGUAAUAAUUGCUCUCCAUAAAACGUAUUGGAUUAUUGAAUUAUUACAAAUCCCACAUCAACCACAACAGGAAUUUUAAAAAUGCAUAGACAUAACACUGCACUUUUAAUUCAUACAAACAUCGGUAUUUUAUGCAAUUACUGAAGUAACUCCUUAGAUGAGUAAAAAAAUUACUUUACAAGUCCUUACUUUACAAGUGAAAUAUAACAAUACUAAAAUUAUUUAGUAUUUAGUUACGCUGAACACUGUAUGAUUAAAACGUAAACUUACGCAUUGACUCGAGCAGCUAUUUUCUUCCAAGCUAAUUCUUUCUCUUUCGCUGCUGCAGCCGUGUUGCCUUUUCUAUGGAUUAUAGACUCGUAGUCGUUUUAUGCUUGACGUAUCGUAUCCAUUUCCGGACGUCUUUUGUUGUCCUGUUGCCAUGGUGACUCAAUAUCUUCACUCCAUUGAUCAGGGCUUUGUAUCGUCGCGGUGCACGCGCUUAACUCUGAGUCAGACAACUCAGUUUCUUAAACCAACUCUUUUCAGCUGUUCUGGAACCGAAAACUCCAGGUUUGCAAACUCAGUAGAUCAACUAAGAGUUUAGUUUAAACUUAGAGUUUGUUAAACCUCCUACUUAAAACGGGCCCCUGAUGCAGGUGAUGGAGCCUUGUCCUGCAUAACCCUGGUCCUCUUUAAAAAGCGGACUUGUUCCUGUAUCACUGCAUGAAGUAAGUGUUAGUGAUGGGACAGGUGUCGUGCCAAAAAGUGACUGUCUGCCAGAAAUAGAUUUCCGCACGCGGGAGCGCGCGCCGCCUCGUUGAGGCGUUUAGCUCGGUUUGUGUAGGACCACAGCUGCUUAUUUCGGUUUCAAACGGCCAUAACUUGUAAAUAUGAUCCGCUACACGUUUUCUAGUGGACGUAGUGACGCCACGUCUUUUAAAUUUUGUGUAAACGACAUUUUUAACUUGCUGCAUGGGACUAGUUAAACCAGUAAGAUGCUUUCAUGUUGCCAAAACGUGAUUUUUAGAAGCAAAGCUUUUGAUCAAAAGCCUAAUUCUGCAUUCUUAAAUACAUUGAGCCCUGCUUUGUUAAAUUUACAGAUGUAAUAAAUAUCCAGUCCAUCUGAUCUUUGUCUGAUCGUUCCUAAUACCAGUAGAACCAGUAGCAUGCUGGUUUUAUGCUGCCACAAAGUGAUUAAAGCCAAUAUCUGUUUACUGAAAGCUUCUUUCUCCCUUAUUUUAAGUUCAUGGAGCUCUGCUGGGUUAUAUUAACAGAUUUAAUGAGCAUUCAGUACAUCUUAUCACUGUCUACACCUGUCUGAGACCAGUUAAACCCAUGAGAUGCUGUCUUCACGUUGCCAAAAAGUAAUUAUAGCCAAUAUCUUUUGAUAAGAAGCUUAUUUCUGCCUCAUUUUAAGUCAGUGGAGCUCUGUGUCAUAUUAACACAUUCAAAUUAACUUAACCGCUGUCUGCACCUGUGAGCUAGAAUCACUUUUUGGCAACAUGAUAACAAGCCUUUUCUUGGUUCUACUGAUUUCAGACUGGUACAAGAAGUGAUCGGAUGGACUGGACGUUAACUAAAUCUUCAGUUUGAUCCAGUAGAACUGUCAAGAACACACGGAGGAGGACCCACAUGCACAGCGCAGACGAGUAGCUGUGCUUCUCUCUCUCUCUCUCUCUCUCUCUCUCUCUCUCUCUCUCUCUCUCUCUCUCUCUCUCUCUCUCUCUCUCUCUCUCUCUCUCUCUCUCUCCUCCACUCUGUCCUCACCUACAGGUAUCAUAGGACUCAAAGUUUGGUGUCUGUGAUGGGCAGCUGCGGAUCCAACCAUCCUGCCUGCAUCCAGUCCCUGGUCCAACCAUCCUGCCUGUGCUGUGUUGUUGCUUGUUGCUGUUGCUGUGCUAUUCUCUCUCUCUAUCCUCUCACCCCAACCGGUCGAGGCAGAUGGCCACCCACAUUCAGCCUGGUUCUGCUGGAGGUUUCUUCCUCGUUAGAGAGGGAGUUUUUCCUCUCCACUGUUGCUGUCAAAUUAAAUGCUUGCUGUAUGUGGGAUUUGUUGGGUUUAGUUGUGUGAGGUCUUAAACCUUACUUUGUAAAGUGCCUUGAGAUAACUUUGUUGUGAUUUUGAGCUAUAUAAAUAAAUUUGAAUUGAAUUAAAUCUGUUAAUAUAACCCAGCAGAGCUCCAUGAACUUAAAAUAAGGGAGAAAGAAGCAUUCAGUAAACAGAUAUUGGCUUUAAUCACUUUGUGGCAACAUAAAACCAGCAUGCUACUGGUUCUACUGGUCUCUGUGUAUUACAUCUGUAAAUAUAACAAAGAAGAGCUCGAUGUAUUUAAAAUAGGGCAGAAUUAGACUUUUGAUCAAAAGUUUUGGUUCUAAUAAUCACGUUUUGGCAACAUGAAAGCAUCUUACUGGUUUAACUGGUCUCAUGCAGAUAUUAAAAGUGGUCAAAAACUCGGUGGUCACUCGUACAGUUUAAAUCAGAGUCAAGAGUCUAUAUAGUAUUUACAAGUUAAGGCUUUUUGAAAUCGAAAUCGAUUUCUGGCAGAUGAAGAGCGAAACCCCGUUUCAGUGCGCGUAUCGCGUUGGGAAAGUCACGUGACUGAUAGUCACUGGCGCGCCAAACUGUGUUUAUAAGGAAGCGAAUGUAUCAGGCAGUAUCUGCAAAAAAAGAGGAAGGAGCAACAUUUAGCCAAAAGAAAGGUUUUCACCUAAUAUUGGAAAAUAAGAUAACAUUUGGCAAGAUCUCAUCAUUGAAGUGGGCAGAUAGACCAAAAAUGCCACAGCUGAAGCCAUCCAUGAGGUGCAGACAUACUUUGCAGAGGGCGAUAUCACCAGGUCCCAGGAUGAGAUACUGGGUCCACCAAAAGACAAUCUGUCCAACCUCUUCCAGCUGUCCUUACAGUUUCUCUGCACUCCAGCCUCAUCUGUGUCAUGUGAACAGGUGUUUUCUACAGCUGGACAAGUUGAAUCAAAAAAGCUAACAGACUCAAUUUUAAAACGUUGGAAAGACUUUUUUAUAAAAAUUU